This 335-nucleotide ribosomal RNA is filed under the name uncultured bacterium. RNAcentral describes it as "bacterial SSU rRNA". It matches the Rfam family "Bacterial small subunit ribosomal RNA", at positions 568 to 898 of the family's 1533-position model. The record is from RNAcentral.
CGCGUAGGCGGUUUUUUAAGUCAGAUGUGUAAAUCCCCCGAGCUUAAACUUGGGAACUGCAUCUGAGACUGGAAGGCUAGAGUACUGGAGAGGGUGGUGGAAUUCCUCGUGUAGCGGUGAAAUGCGUAGAGAUGAGGAGGAACACCAGUGGCGAAGGCGGCCACCUGGACAGUAACUGACGCUGAGGCGCGAAAGUGUGGGUAGCAAACAGGAUUAGAUACCCUGGUAGUCCACGCUGUAAACGAUGAACACUUGGUGUGGAGGGAGUUGACCCCUUCCGUGCCGGAGCUAACGCGUUAAGUGUUCCGCCUGGGGAGUACGGUCGCAAGGCUGAA